RNAcentral lists this ribosomal RNA (107 nucleotides) under uncultured bacterium. RNAcentral's name for it is "partial 16S ribosomal RNA". It matches the Rfam family "Bacterial small subunit ribosomal RNA", at positions 386 to 508 of the family's 1533-position model. The record is from RNAcentral.
AAGCAGCAACGCCGCGUGGGGGAUGACGGCCUUCGGGUUGUAAACCUCUUUUCUCGGGGACGAUAAUGACGGUACUCCGGGGAAUAAGUCAACGGCUAACUACGUGC